Oxyura jamaicensis (ruddy duck) is the source of this 4610-nucleotide long non-coding RNA. RefSeq lists it as uncharacterized. Lineage: Eukaryota; Metazoa; Chordata; Aves; Anseriformes; Anatidae. The record is from RefSeq and is a predicted model, not a curated record. The transcript is spliced from 2 exons.
CAGAUUCUCUCCCCCAUUCCACAGAGAGGGGGAAGACUUCAGGGGCAGAUGAGCAAAUGGUUUUGUGGUGCUUAGCUGCCUGCUGGGUUAAGCCAUAACAGCAUGUCACAGACAGAAAAUGUGUUGUUAGUAGAAUAUAUACCACAGUGCUUAAAUCCUUAGAGAAGGGAAAUAAAUGAUUCUAGUCUUCCCUAUUAAAUUUGUCAGUGUAAUUUUUCUUCUCUUUUAUUCUUCACUGUUUGCUUUCCCAAUGCUUUGUCUUGCUACAAUCUGGUGUUACAGCAGGUGUAGUGAUCCGAACUGGGAGAGUAUUGUACAUCAAGGAGUUAGUGAUCCACUAAACAGUUGACCUGAGUACAUGCCUCUGCUGUUCUGCACAUAUCACUUGGCUGCAGGAUAAACUUAGCCAGCUAAUCAUAAUGGAGAAGCCUGUAGGCAGCUUCCACUUGGCAUCUGGUGAUAAUGCCACUGGCAUGUCCUUGUCUUUACCUUGAAGUGGCAGGUUUUCGUGUGAACAUCGUUUUGCUUGAUGGUAGAAAUUAGUAGAAUUGGUCACUUCCAAGAAAAAAAAGAGCUCUUUUAAUGCCAGUGAAUCUCACUAUGAACAGGGUAUACACAGCAUGUGCCCUGACUAGAAGUCUUGCUGAUACUGUACAGCUUGGAUUUUCCAGCACCGAAUUAUCUAUGCUAUCCACUCUUCCUUCCUCGCAUCAUCCCCCAUAAAAGGUGAUUAAUAGCUUCAGAUACUCGUAGAAUUGCCAUGAGACCAGUCUUAGAUCUCCUGUCAUAUUCAGUCGAUUUUCAAUAAGGGCGUGCACUGUUCUGACAGGAUGGAUACAUUCCUUAUUAACAGCAACAACACAAAAAGGAAUCGCUUAUGGUUGCAAGUGUGGUGGGGGGUUUGAACUCCAGAGGUCUAUGAAUUCGAACAGGUGAGAAUGCUGCAUUCAGUCAGACCUAACGUAUUGGUCUGUCCAUUGUGAAUUCUUUUAACUUUUGACUUGACUCAAAACCUGCACAUUAGAAUUCCAGUCUACAGGUUUUCCUUUAGGCUACAUACGUGCAUGAUUUUUUCUUUCCACUAGUUAUGACUAUAUUAGAAUUUGUGUGUAGAAUAACAAAAGGUAAAGGGCUUUUGCCAGUAGUUACUGAUUGGUUCAUCUCUACUUACUAUCUUAUCUAAAUAUAUUCAUUUUUUUUCACAUGCUGUUUUUAAAUUCACUGUGGCAAUAUUGGAAGUCUAACUACUUCAUCGGAGUCUGUAAUGCUUGUACUUCGUUCAGCCACCUAACUAGAUGAAAUAAUUAAUUUAACUGCUUGUUUCCCAAGUAGAAAACUCAUAAUUGGCAUCUAGCAUUGCAAACACAUAAUCCAGGAAUCAUUUUUUCAAUGAGGCUUUUACUCAGAGUGAAUGUUUUUCACGGGUUAAAUAAAGUAAUGGUAUAGAUGGAAAUUUAGUAUCCAUCUCGCCUACUAAUGACAAAUAGCAGUAAAGAUUGACACUUGGAGCUAAUCAAAAACUGAAUGUGAACAGUUGAAUGAAAAUCUUUAAGCAUAACACACUUCUGCAAAGUUCUCCAGGCACUCAUGCACAGUUUUAAAUAAAGGUAUGUGUAUUAAUCCUUUGCAUGAGUAUACUUAAAAGGACUCUCAUUUGACCAAAUCAUCUCUUCCUAAAUCAUUUUUAGUCAUCACUUUCAGAAACAGGGUUAGAUAAAGAACUUCUUUAAAAUGUAGAAUUGAUUGACUGUAGAUAAGCAGUUUUAAAAAAAACAGGCAAUUUAAUUUAUUCUGAAUGUCUAGAGUAAGAUAUUAGUUGUUUAGACAUCCCCUGCAUAACUGCAGAUGGCAUAGCCUAAAACUGAUGGAAUGAGAGUUGUAUGAAAUUAAGCAGUACGUAUUUAAUUGUAACUGUGAAGGAGCAUGUUAAAAUAAAACUGAGAUGAAUCUUCAGGCUGUCUUUGGUGUUAAGCCAUGCUUUUAGUAAUUCAGUCUUACUAGAUUUAGCUUUGCUGCGUGUGGCCUUCAGUCAGAAGGUUCCAGUCUGUAGCCAAUUCUAUACUUCCUGAGCAUCCUUUGUAAAUUGUUUCAGAUAAAGUUCUGCAGGUAGGGCACUAGUUGGUAACACUGUGAGUACAAUGGUGUGCAUAUAAUAGUAAAUGUUUAAUAAACAUAAAAGUUCAGCAAGUAUCCGGUUAAGGGUGAUAGUGCUAGUCUUAAUACACAGCGCAAAAGAACUCUGAAUUCUUGGUAUUUCAGCUGAUUUUUUUCUCUAUUGUCUGUUACGCAUUUGUGUAGCACGUUAGCAUUGGUUUGUGGUUUUAUCAUUGUAACGGUCUGUCUUUGUGUUUUCCUAGAGGCCUUAAGGGACAUUAGUUUGUCAUUUUAAGUAUGUUGUUGAUUUUUACUGUUAUAGGUAGAUUUUUUUCUGACUCUGUGAAUCUCCUUCAAAAUUUGGUUCAAAAUAAUAAGGUCAUGAAUUUGCUCUUGGUAAUCAUAGCAUGAAGUAGAAAUAAAACACAGAGGAAGAUGCUUUGAUUCUGGUAAUUAUAAAUUAAUUAAAGCCCUAAAAAAGCAUAAGGACUCAAUUAGCAGCCCACAGGCCAAAUCCAGUCCUCAGGAGUUCUUCCAAGAAAGAACUGAACAGCUGAUGGAGGCAGCAAACAGCUGAUGGCUCUUCCCUUUGCAAAAAGCCAGGCACUGCAACUUCUCCUGUUGCUGUAGUCUUUCGGAAUAAUGGCCCCCAACCAAGGCUUCCCCCUCCUGUGCUGAGACUUUGCACGGGGCAGCUCCCAUAUCAGCACAGCCCGGGGAGUGGUCUGGAAUUGAGGAUCAAGAAAGAUAAAACAUGGCUAGCAGUUACUUGGACUCUGUUUUCAAUGUUGUAUAUACAUCUUAUGUCAAGAUGAUGAUGAAAAAGAGAAAUUGAAACAAUUUGCUUAGCUUGAGUUGUCACCUUAAUUUUAUAGUUGGUUAAUUUGACAUAAAAUAAGAAUGUGAGCACUUAGCAAUUUCAAGUUAUGGUUCUGAGUUCUCAGGUUCAGAUAACACAAAGCUUUAAAUAUUGCAGAUCACCUAAUUUGAUUUGUAGCUAGACAUUAAUUCUAUAUACUCGUGCUUUUAACAGUGGCAUUGUAACAAGUGGGUUGUUCAGAUUAAGGCUCAGUCAAAUGCGGGCGUACGGCAGAGAAAUAGAGGCCUAUUUUUUGUUUUUCAAAGAAGCUCAAGAAACGUGAUUAUAAGGUUUUGAGGAAAAUAUUUAAACAUGCCAUUUGAUUUUAGACAAAUCUGACAGUGAACAAAAUCCUAUGUUAUUCCCAUUGUAGGUUUUGAAAUACUAACUUGACGGUGUGCAAAGAAACUAUUACUAUGUUGUCAGAAAUAUUUUUUCCUCAAGGUGAAUGUUUUGCCUUUCUCUCCUUCUCAAAAGGAUGGUAUAAAAAUAUGAGCAUUGUGGGAUACGAUUCUUAUUAGAAGCAAAUUACCUGAAAUAUUCCAUAGAAACAAAAACUUUCCUAAGGAAAAAAGCUGAAGCUACUGUGACUGUAUCCUGGAGGCCUUGGAUGCUGUUAAGAUUUGGAAAAACACCUUUUUGUCACCUUCUUUAUGUUCAAGGUCAUAGUGAAGAAGUGUUUUUGGUAAUUGCCCUGGGCUCUGACAUGCUCAGCUAGUUUUGCAGCUAGCUAGCAGCAGUUGGCUGCUCCAUCUCCUGGCUCUGCCCCCGGAAAGAGAAAACUUCAUCUGUUCCCACUGCCAAGGCAGUGAUGGAUCCCUGUGGGCUCCCAGGAUAGUAACUGAGACUUGCCAAGGAAUCAGACUCCCAGCUGGUGAAGUCCUGAAGGUUUCCACCAUUCCAGUGAGAGUGGCAACCUUACAAUAUCUGGGGCUACGUAUGAUGCUACUAGCCAUCAGGGUGCAUGCAUGAACCUGCAGAUAGGAACCCUGUGUCACUCAUCUGUGCCUCCCACCAACAAACUGAUGCAUAUUAGAUGAGCUCUUCAGAAGAGAGGCUUUUUGCUAUGCCACACCUGCUACUCCGAUCUGCUUUCUUGUUUCAGUAUUAUAGCCUUUCUCUCUGUUUAUUUGUUGUGUGACAGCAAAUGUCUAACUUGGUUUAUCCCAUUCAAUUUUUACUACUCUGGUAGUUUUUUGGCUUGGUUUUUGCUUUGAAACAAUUGCAAAGGUACUAAUGGAGAUGAGAUUUAAUCUUAAAUGUGUAAAACAUCAUGUGAUGUGUAAGAAAAUUUAUUAAUAGAACUUGAGGUGGGAACAGAUUGUCAUAAAAUAAUGAAAAAAGCACUGACACAUUUCAAGUAGUAUAUAAGCUGACAGACCAUGGGGAGGGAUUAAGGAAAAUGGUAGUUAGGUGCACUUGAACUUGUAUCAGAAUAAAGUAAGAAUAAUGAAAUUAUUCCUGCUGAUUUUGAGCUAUUUAUUUAGUGUAUUCAUAGGUUUAAAUCAGGCAUGACAUAAUGGUUGUAAUUCUGCCUGUGAAAUUAACAUAAAUGCUUAUGGAUUUGAAAGUAACUAUUGGCUGCUGGCUUUGGGGUUUUGUUUUAAUAUUUUUAUUUAUUUACUUCAUUUGUAUUGGACACUAGAAAAAUAUUGUA